This 292-nucleotide ribosomal RNA is filed under the name uncultured prokaryote. RNAcentral describes it as "partial 16S ribosomal RNA". It matches the Rfam family "Bacterial small subunit ribosomal RNA", at positions 505 to 796 of the family's 1533-position model. The record is from RNAcentral.
GUGCCAGCAGCCGCGGUAAUAGAGACGGUGCAAGCGUUAAUCGGAAUUACUGGGCGUUUAGCGCGCGUAGGUGGUUCGUUAAGUUGGAUGUGAAAUCCCCGGGCUCAACCUGGGAACUGCAUUCAAAACUGACGAGCUAGAGUAUGGUAGAGGGUGGUGGAAUUUCCUGUGUAGCGGUGAAAUGCGUAGAUAUAGGAAGGAACACCAGUGGCGAAGGCGACCACCUGGACUGAUACUGACACUGAGGUGCGAAAGCGUGGGGAGCAAACAGGAUUAGAUACCCGAGUAGUCC